RNAcentral lists this ribosomal RNA (402 nucleotides) under uncultured Hyphomicrobiales bacterium. RNAcentral's name for it is "uncultured Rhizobiales bacterium partial 16S ribosomal RNA". It matches the Rfam family "Bacterial small subunit ribosomal RNA", at positions 355 to 774 of the family's 1533-position model. Lineage: Bacteria; Pseudomonadati; Pseudomonadota; Alphaproteobacteria; Hyphomicrobiales. The record is from RNAcentral.
UGGGGAAUAUUGGACAAUGGGCGCAAGCCUGAUCCAGCCAUGCCGCGUGAGUGAUGAAGGCCUUAGGGUUGUAAAGCUCUUUUGCCAGGGAAGAUAAUGACUGUACCUGGAGAAUAAGCCCCGGCUAACUUCGUGCCAGCAGCCGCGGUAAUACGAAGGGGGCUAGCGUUGUUCGGAAUCACUGGGCGUAAAGCGCACGUAGGCGGACUUUUAAGUCAGGGGUGAAAGCCUGAGGCUCAACCUCAGAACUGCCCUUGAUACUGGGAGUCUUGAGUAUGGUAGAGGUUGGUGGAACAGCAAGUGUAGAGGUGAAAUUCGUAGAUAUUUGCUAGAACACCAGUGGCGAAGGCGGCCAACUGGACCAUAACUGACGCUGAGGUGCGAAAGCGUGGGGAGCAAACA